UAGGUAUGAUAGAUUUUCUCUUUGGGUUGUUCGGAGAUGUUCAUCAAUUAUGUUAUUAUAUAGAGAUACGAGGACAUAGUGAUAUGUGUGAGCAAAAACGAGGAAAUAUGAAAUCUCCAAAAUUUUUGACACUUGUAAGAAAAUGCAAAGUGUUUUUUACUAGUGCUGACUUUUUUGGAACUAUGUACCUAAUUUUUGUAAAUAAAGGUGA
Molecule: long non-coding RNA, 211 nt
Filed under: Brassica napus (rape)
Lineage: Eukaryota; Viridiplantae; Streptophyta; Magnoliopsida; Brassicales; Brassicaceae
Description: long non-coding RNA (BNAP_LNC003529)
Source: RNAcentral